CCAUAGCUCAAUGGUGGAGCAGGGGACUCAUAAUCCCUGGGUUGGGGGUUCGAAUCCCUCUGGGCG
RNAcentral lists this transfer RNA (66 nucleotides) under bovine gut metagenome. It matches the Rfam family "tRNA", at positions 5 to 66 of the family's 71-position model. From Rfam's summary of the family: Transfer RNA (tRNA) molecules are approximately 80 nucleotides in length. Their secondary structure includes four short double-helical elements and three loops (D, anti-codon, and T loops). The record is from RNAcentral.